Molecule: ribosomal RNA, 468 nt
Filed under: uncultured bacterium
Lineage: Bacteria
Description: partial 16S ribosomal RNA
Rfam family: Bacterial small subunit ribosomal RNA
Source: RNAcentral
GACGAACGCUGGCGGCGUGCUUAACACAUGCAAGUCGAACGGAAAGGCCCUGCUUUUGUGGGGUGCUCGAGUGGCGAACGGGUGAGUAACACGUGAGUAACCUGCCCUUGACUUUGGGAUAACUUCAGGAAACUGGGGCUAAUACCGGAUAGGAGCUCCUGCUGCAUGGUGGGGGUUGGAAAGUUUCGGCGGUUGGGGAUGGACUCGCGGCUUAUCAGCUUGUUGGUGGGGUAGUGGCUUACCAAGGCUUUGACGGGUAGCCGGCCUGAGAGGGUGACCGGCCACAGUGGGACUGAGGUACGGCCCAGACUACUACGGGAGGCAGCAGUGGGGAAUGGUGCAAAAUGGGAGGAAGCCUGAUGCAGCAACGCCGCGUGCGGGAUGACGGCCUUCGGGUUGUAAACCGCUUUCGCCUGUGACGAAGCGUGAGUGACGGUAAUGGGUAAAGAAGCACCGGCUAACUACGUG